Molecule: non-coding RNA, 72 nt
Organism: Trichechus manatus latirostris (Florida manatee)
Lineage: Eukaryota; Metazoa; Chordata; Mammalia; Sirenia; Trichechidae
Source: the annotation of a RefSeq genome assembly
UCCCUGGUGGUUUAGUGGUUAGGAUUUGGCGCUCUCAACGCCGCAGCCCGGGUCCGAUUCCCGGUCAGGGAA